GAUGAACGCUGGCGGCGUGCCUAAUACAUGCAAGUCGAGCGAACAGACGAGGAGCUUGCUCCUCUGACGUUAGCGGCGGACGGGUGAGUAACACGUGGAUAACCUACCUAUAAUACUGGGAUAACUUCGGGAAACCGGAGCUAAUACCGGAUAAUAUAUUGAACCGCAUGGUUCAAUAGUGAAAGACGGUUUUGCUGUCACUUAUAGAUGGAUCCGCGCCGCAUUAGCUAGUUGGUAAGGUAACGGCUUACCAAGGCAACUAUGCGUAGCCGACCUGAGAGAGUGGUCGGCGACCCGGGAACUGAGACAGGGUCCAGAGUCCUACGGGAGGCAGCAGUAGGGAAUCUUCCGCAAUGGGCGAAAGCCUGACGGAGCAACGGCGCGUGAGUGAUGAAGGUGUUCGGAUCGUAAAACUCUGUUAUUAGGGAAGAACAAAUGUGUAAGUAACUAUGGCCGUCUUGACGGUACCUAAUCAGAAAGCCACGGCUAACUACGUG
RNAcentral lists this ribosomal RNA (497 nucleotides) under uncultured bacterium. Its description in RNAcentral is "partial 16S ribosomal RNA". It matches the Rfam family "Bacterial small subunit ribosomal RNA", at positions 28 to 507 of the family's 1533-position model. The record is from RNAcentral.